CUGGGUAAGGGGUCCCCGUAGGGGUUUUAUCCUGGCUCUAAAAUUCCCCAGUGGGGGACGGAAAAUUUAUAAAUCGGAAUCUACUCUGGGGAGGGGGUUAACAAAGGAACCCUUACGCUAAUACCGCCUACCCCCUAAGGGGGAGAGGGGGGGAUCUCUUGGCCUUUCGCAAUUGACUGGGCCGAAUUCGGAUUAUGGAGUUGUAGGGGUUAAGGCCCACCACGACCACUAUCCGGUCCGAGUCUAUGAGGAUACCACUCGCACUGAAACUGAGACAAGACCCAUACUCCAACCGGAGGUGGGAAUUAUUAAACUCUGACAAUGGGCCAAAUCUGACCUCCCCUCCCGCGUGGAAAAAGGGGGCCUUCGAUGUAAAUCCUUUUGAGGGAAAAAU
This 394-nucleotide ribosomal RNA is filed under the name Cellvibrio sp. HPC 1206. Its description in RNAcentral is "partial 16S ribosomal RNA". The record is from RNAcentral. Lineage: Bacteria; Pseudomonadati; Pseudomonadota; Gammaproteobacteria; Cellvibrionales; Cellvibrionaceae.